This 73-nucleotide transfer RNA is filed under the name Streptococcus sp. RNAcentral describes it as "tRNA-Met". It matches the Rfam family "tRNA". Rfam says of the family: Transfer RNA (tRNA) molecules are approximately 80 nucleotides in length. Their secondary structure includes four short double-helical elements and three loops (D, anti-codon, and T loops). Further hydrogen bonds mediate the characteristic L-shaped molecular structure. tRNAs have two regions of fundamental functional importance: the anti-codon, which is responsible for specific mRNA codon recognition, and the 3' end, to which the tRNAs corresponding amino acid is attached (by aminoacyl-tRNA synthetases). tRNAs cope with the degeneracy of the genetic code in two manners: having more than one tRNA (with a specific anti-codon) for a particular amino acid; and 'wobble' base-pairing, i.e. permitting non-standard base-pairing at the 3rd anti-codon position. The record is from RNAcentral. Lineage: Bacteria; Bacillati; Bacillota; Bacilli; Lactobacillales; Streptococcaceae.
UGCGUGGUAGAGCAGUUGGUAGCUCGCAAGGCUCAUAACCUUGAGGACGUGGGUUCAAGUCCCACCUGCGCAA